AAAGUCCGAAAAAGCUAAGUGUUUGUCUGAGAAUUUCUUUCUUCUUUCUUCGAUUCUUUCUCGUCUCUUCUCUUUUCUAUGUGAGAAUGAUCAAAAUCCCGCUUCUCUUCAUCAUCACCCCUUCAAGAUGAAGGGGAGAUAUAAAACCCCCAGCUUACUCAUGAUGUUAGUGUGAGAAACCCCAGACAAGGGUUUGAUAAAUAGAUCAACGAUUUGGGAUUUUGAGGGGACAAACGACUGUGAGAUCAAGCCAGCGAGAAAUUCUUGUCGAACAAAAUGGCAAUUCAGCUCUACAUAUUUAGUUCAUUCAUGGAAGAUUAGAUUGCGGGAAAUAUGAAUUGUCGCCUGGCUGUCAGAGUGGUAAGGAACAAGCAAAGUUGGAGGAGUAGAUAAAUCAGCUAGGAGUCGAACAAGCCAUGUGAUUUUAGCAGUCACCCGUCUUAUGGAUCGAUACUCAGAUUCAGCGGAUGACAAAGAGACGGAGAGCUGCUUCUUUGAUUUCAAUGAGAUGGCAGCACCACCAAGUGUAAUAAAAAAGCCACUGACGGAUCAACGAGAGUUUUUACAAGCAGCACAGUCAGCAUCACAAAAGGCGACUAAAUCUAAAGAGGGAACAGGGGAAAGAAGGAUGCCUUGGCCUGGAUCUGAGCGGAGAUACCGGAGUACCCUGAGGCCUGUAGAGAAGUGUGAAAGAGAGGGCCUUUGCAUAAAUUGACUUAAGGCAAAGGACGGCAAAGCAAAUAUCUAGCCUGGUAUUGGUGAGGUAAUUAAGUUUACCCACCAAUUGUUGAUAGAGAGUGGGAUGUGCCAUGAGUGGUUCUAAUUAAGCCUGCAAUUUGGAGUAUGGGUCAAGAGGAGAUGUGACAUCAGGGUCUGCACAAUCAAAUUCACUCAAUAGUUUCAAGUUGGUACAACUUGGCUCCAUUACACUGUACAAACCUGUGUUCAAGACUAUUCCACGAGUCCUUUGCAGAUUUUGAAUAGAUGACACUGUCACCUACCUCCUUGGACAAAGAGUUCAAUAGCCAAGAAGUGACCAUGAAGUUGCAUCUGCUCCAUUGAGUGUGCAAGUAUGAAUAAAUUCAGACUGUGAAACUAAGAAUGGCUCAUUAAAUCCGUUAUAGUUUGUUUGAUGUUAUCUACUACUCGGAUAACCGUAGUAAUUCUAUAGCUAAUAUGACCAACAUGGAGAAUUCAGCCUCGCAGUAAUGUCAUUAUAAUACUCGAAAUAUAUUCAAAUAGGAGUCGGGGUAGUUAAAGGUACCAUAUGAGUGUUACAGGGAUAAAAGAAAGUGUCACUGGGAACGCAGCCAAAAUAUCAAUUCAGAAGCAACCCUACAAGCACAAGGGCAUCUUUGGCAUUAGGAUUUGUUUCAUCACAUAGACCAUGUAUAAAGCCUAUCUUAUUCUUGGUUGAAAGAGCUAUAAGGAUUGAUCUCCUCCAUCCUAAAAAGCUUCUACCAUCAAAAUGUAUGGUAACAAAGCUCAUACCAGGAGCAUCAAAGGAAUGAAGAAAGUAUGGAUGAUUAACAUCCUGUGAGAUUAUUUGACUGGUGGAACCAGAGCCAACGGGAAUAGAAGGAGUUUUUGUCCCUGUCUUGGCGUAAUACUAAAUUUUGAGAGAAAAUGGUGGAUCGAGCUACUGCUGCUCUGAUACCGUGAUAGAAAAGGAAGAACAAAUUGAGGAAAUUUUCUCUGCUUUGUAUUGAUAAUGUACAUGUCUAUAUAUACAGAAUUAUCCUAUUGUAAAUAACAAAUGAAGAAUACUCCUAUACACUUGUACUACUCCUAUUGUCUACAGUGUAACAGAAAAAGUGAAAAUAUUCUUUUCCA
Molecule: long non-coding RNA, 1833 nt
Organism: Nicotiana tabacum (common tobacco)
Lineage: Eukaryota; Viridiplantae; Streptophyta; Magnoliopsida; Solanales; Solanaceae
Source: RefSeq, a predicted model, not a curated record